This is a long non-coding RNA of Egretta garzetta (little egret), 8891 nucleotides long. RefSeq lists it as uncharacterized. Lineage: Eukaryota; Metazoa; Chordata; Aves; Pelecaniformes; Ardeidae. The transcript has 5 exons. The record is from RefSeq and is a predicted model, not a curated record.
CCCACUCGGCACAGAUGGGUGGUAAUGUUGCCAGCUACAUGGUGGAAAGGCUAUGGUUCGUUAGCGUCGUAUUAACGCCUUUAGCAGUUGUCAUGCCAAUCUGCUUCUACAAAUUCAUACUCUGCGUGGCUAAGAAUUCACCUUCUGUGGGGACUUCUUGCACGAGCACUGUCGUAGUCACGCUAGUGCACUUGGGCAUGCCCUUUGCAAAUUGUGCUAUUGGGGCAAGAUUAACAGAUUCUGGCGUACAGGAGUGCAAGGUCCUUCUCCUAGUCCUGCUACUGAGUGUGGAUUGACACAACGCACUUUUUUUUUUUUUUUAAAUCAAAUUUUCUGCCAUUCUGCCAGAUUGCUCCAGUCUUACUGCAAUCUCACACCUGUUAAGAAUCCCACUGGCUGGUCUAGCCAGCUCAUAUUGGAUGAAAAAAACUAGAUCACCUUUACCCAUUUUUGCUCUUUCAGAGUUAAGUGUCUGCAUAUAGAAAAUAAGCUUUCUAGGGCAUGGAGAACCUCUCGUGUUUCAACUGGUUUGUGCCCAGCACAAAAUUGUGGCUGGAACCUAGAUGUUAAUGCCAUCUUAAAUAAUAAUAUUUUUUCAGGUGCUGGCCAGAGUUUUAAGAGAUAGUUCCAGCAAUGAGCGUAUUGGAGUAGCCAAGGCACAGCUGCUUGAAACAGCAACAUGCAGCAGUUAUAUUAUAUGCAAUGAAAAAAGACCUCCUUCAAGAAAGCUAUUGAAGACAGCUGCAGAUCAGUCCUCCUCAGGCUUCAUUAGCUUUUUUCAUCUUCUGUAAGCCAACCCUGGGCAUGACUUUAGAAGAUGAUUAAACCAAAGAUUUGUGUGUCAUUACACCCUCUCCAACUCCAGCUGCAACUUGUUAUCCAUGAAAGCCCCAGGAUUCAUGGUCCAGGAUAGAAGCCUUCCUACCUCUACCAUUUCCUUGGCAUACUGGUUACAAUCACUUCUCCCACCAUCACCUAUUUCUCAACUGUCUUUUGUUAAAGAUCCUCAAUCCUUGCUGGAACUGUAUAAACAGAAGCAUGGAUCACCAGCCACCUAAAAUCACUUGUGAGCCCUGGGCUAUGGCAGAUGAAAGGCCUUUCGAUAUUCUCCCCAGCAGGUCUUCCACAGAGAUGUAAUGACUUUUGUGCCCAAGUUUACUUUACUUUUAUGCUGUAGGGAUGCUCUAAAUGGUCCUAUGUACAGGGCAUAUAUAUUUAUAUGUAAUCAUGCCCAUACAGAUGGUGAAAUGCCAGCUAUGAAUCAACAGAAUUCAUAAAGCUCUGCCAGAGGUACUCAUAGCUGCGAGUUGCACACAUGGGUGCCUUAAGCACUAAAAAAGGCCCUGCUUUCUUCACACCUGACCUGAAAUACAGGCCCAUAGCCCCUACACCUACAGAACUGACAAGCCAGCGCACGACAGCCCGUGCGCAGUGAAUUUUAAAUGCAGACACAUGACCUCAGAUUCCACUCAUAAAGGGUGAUCUGUACUGAAAUGUUUGAGACUUACAAGUGCAAACACAGCAGCGGUACUACAGGGCUUAUGUGAAAAAAUAAUUAUUCCAUGUAGAAAGGAAGUUGGCUUGCUCCGAGCAGAGGUGUUAAGAGACUACCCCAACACCAGCCCGCUUACCUGAAAAUAGGAAAACGUCGAGUGACGCAGCGCUGUGUUUAUUUGAGAUGGGUAUCAUAUCCCACACAUGUUAAAUGUCUUGCUGUGUUUUGGACUGAGGUGGUAGUUAAUCUGAAUGCCAGUUCUAAGAGUCAUUUACUAAAAAAUAAGCCUUGGACAACUGUGCUGCAAUUUUAGUAAUUUGGGGGCAGAGAGGCAUGCAGAUCGUAAUAUACAAAUAGGGCUGAAUUUAAAAGAGCAGCUUCAGAAUAGACAUUUUUCCCCCUUCCACUGGAUUCAGGAUAGUAAAUAAAAGCUGUGCCUUGAAUGACAGUAACAAGACAGGGACUUGGCACAGACUUGCUUCACCACAGAGAUCCACCAGAGCAAGGAUGAAAGUAGCAGCAACCAGAGCAGGUAAAAGGUGGAAGGAUUACAAAGAUCUAUAGUAGAAAAGGUAUUUGGGUCCCUCUCAAAGGCAGCAUAACUUUUUUUCCUAAACAAGGUUUCUUCUUCUCCUCCUCCUGUCUCCGAUAUGUUUCAGUUGCAAUCAGGGGUAAUUCCCUAGCAGUGGCAAAAGUGAGAAUGCUUGGGCUGACAUGGCAUUAGCAAAUUAAGCACUGGGCCCUCAGCUGUUCUGGCUGCACCUGAGUAACAUCCCCCUAGCCUCCUGUCUUCCUCCAUCAGCACACAUGUAGUAAGUCCCUAACCCCAUCAAAAUGAGUCAGGCCUGAAAAUAGGGAAGACAAAAACCUAUAGAAAGUGUUUAAACUAAGCCAGACCCUACUGAGAACAAAGCAGUUGCGCAGUGAUGCCUGCAGGCUGGGUGGGAUCCCAGUGACACUGAGGGUGUAGGAAAACCUCCCCACCUGCUUUCCCUCCAGCCAAAACUGCAAUAGGCAUAAACCAGAAAACACCUCACCAACAGCCAUACAAAUGUUAGGGUCUAGGAGUGAACCUCUGUUGAUGCAAAGUAGGCAGCAGUGACCAAGGGCACGUGUUCUCCUACCAAACCCCUCAUACCUCAAGGAGAAGCAGGACUGGCGUUGAUGUGCAAGGCAUAAAAGUCUCUAUCUCCUACCUUGCAUUUUAAGUACGUAGCUACUCCUGCUUGGUUCUGAAGUUCUUUUGGCUAAACUUUGCAUAGGCAUAGGAAAGGAUAAGCUUUGUUAUCUCACAUUGGAUACACCCUCCCUCACAUUUUAUUUCCAACGUAAAGGGGUUUAGAAGAGGGGCAGUGUCUAAGGUCAGACAUUUGUCUCCUAAAGUAGGAAAGCAGUCACAAAGCUGCUAGGACACUCAGCAGAAGAUGCUGCUAAGCUGUGAGGCAGGGGCUCCCUGGACAUCCACACCUCGGUGGAAGUCCUUCCAUAACUGCUUCCCUCGGGACUCUGGGUCCCUUGUUUUAGCAUCUCUGCAAUAACCCAGUGACAUGAGAUCUAGAAGAGAAAAGGAAAAAAAAUGGCACUUGCAUCACGUUCUAUCUAUGUAACUCUUACAUCUGUUUCCAUGAAUUGACCCAUCUACUUUGCUGCCAGAACUGAAACUGUCUGCACUUGAGGCUAGAAACAAACACACAUGUAUUUAUUUACAUUGUGAUAGUCUCCAAAAGCUCCAUCCAGUGCUGUGGUUAAAGCAAACAACCAAUCAGCAAGGCAAGUCCAGAGUUCAAGCGGCAGCAAUCAAUGCGCUGAACUCCUACGCUGGCAAACUUCGGCGUGCAGGUACCCACCAGAGAAGCACUCACCAGACUCCAGCACCACUGCAAGGUGACCUACCCACGAAGCGGUCUGCAAACUUUUAACAGCAGAGGACAGCACGUAGCUCCACCAGGAUUGCCCACCACAGGGAACUUUGGGGCUGUCACUGUUGACUGAGACGUACUUGUGUCCCCUUGCGACGCAAUUACUCUGAGCAGGCACAAAAAAGGGUUUGUUAUUUGUCGCUCUUGCCAGCACUGCCUCUGGCAAAACUUACUGCAAUAAUCAGCCUACACAGCUUACCCUGCUCCGUAAAGCGCAUCCCUACGUCUGUCUGAGUCGCCUUUUCUUCCUAGUUGUGUGAUACAGCUUCUGAAAACGCAUCACUUCAGGACAGAAUAAAAACCAAAGAGCAAGGCUGGCUCUAGCACAGACAAGAGAGGACUGCCCCUCCUUGUCUCCACAUCAUCACACUUGGCUGUAAAAGGUGAUGGUCAAAACAAGCAAGAGCUGUCAAGAGUUAGUUUUUCCAUGGGGUUUACCUAGUGGGAAUCUUUAAGAAAAUAAAUCCAGGCUUCAGGUGAGGAUGCCAAAGUGUGUCAGUGAUGUUAGGCAGGGGUCACUGAAGUGCCCUUUCCACACCUAAAAGAAUUUAAGUUUGCAUUUGUAUUGGAGGAGGGAGAAGGUAGGAAAUUCACAGCUUAAAAUAGACAUUAUUCCCAAAUUUUGGGGCCAGGAGACAUCUACCAGCUGAAUACAAAAGAACUCUCCCCUUCCCUACUCAACCAAAAGAGACAUUCCAGGAAAAGUGGGUACCUCCAGGUGUUCUCCUGAACCACCUGCAAAUAUCCCAGCAUAUUUAGGCUGAGCUUAACCAGGUAACUGGCAGCAAGAAUCAUCCUGCUCUUGCAAGCAAUUCAUUGUGUGGCCUUAAAUAAAUCACUUGCACAUGAUCAGCACUAAAGAAGAAGAAAGUUUUCUGACCCUUUUCUUUUAAUGUAUAGAGGCAUUAUAUGAAAACAGGCAGAGGUAUUGGCUGUCAGCCAGGGAGAAAAAAAAAAAAAAAAAAAGAAAAAAAAGUUGACGUUUCUUUAUUUCUAGGAAAUCUUAACUUUUUUAUUUUCGUAAAGAGAUUUUUAAAUGGGAUCGCUGUACCACAAAAGACCGCUGCAAGUGAGAAAGGGGAAUUGUCAGUUGGAUGUGGUGAUGGAUAUUAGGGUGUUAUUCCAAAAUAACACAAAUGUCUGAGAAAAUACUUGAAGAAAAUCUUUCAUUAGAGAAAAUUAGGGAUUGUCAUAGCUUAGAGAAAGAAGAGAAACAGCCAUCAAAGAGCUUGACCAGAAAAUGUAAUGUUCUCCCUGGCCUUUGAAGGUCACCUUUAUUUUUGGUGAGAUUCUCCCUCUGCAGAAGAGGUGAGCAAACAAAAAUGCAUCACAUUCAUCUGCUGAUCUUCUGUACAGAGCUAAGUUUCCCGUGAGGUUCCCUGGUUUUUCCUUUCACUUACCAGCUGUUGAUGCUUCUCUGCAUGUCCAGAAACCAACUGAUUUUAUCAGUAAAAUGGGUACACGUCUAUAACCUGAUCUAAUUAGUAAAAGAUGACUCUACCUGUAGAUCUGCUUUUAGGAACUGCUGUCUGAACUAGGCAGCACCAAGGAUGGAUUAAAAAACCCUGGGUGAAGUGCAAGGCACAGCUGGAUCAGAAAAUGAAACUGGAUUUUCUGGGGCCCCUUUCCUGACACCCCCAGCACUGUGCUCAUGCCCUACAGACACACCGAGCUGCAGGACAAAGCACAGUUGGCAGCUAAUUUGGAUUUGGCCAUUUCACACUUGCAAGCCAGGGAUUCAAAGCCAAAAUACCCGGACCCCCCUCCUACUUUCCAACACAGAAACAAUUUAAAACAGAUCUAACACCUAUGUAGUACUGAUUCGGUUAUCUUCAAAAUCCCAUUGUUCUGUUUAAAGAGCAUAUCCUCCUAGAAUAGCCUCCUUUUGAUAAACAACUCCUUCUGCAUGUCAGCCAAACAGCAGUUUUGGGCUUUAUCACAAGUGGACCAGCAGCAGAAACAGUGUGUGGUGAAGCGGGGGAGGAGGGGGUUUUAGCUGAAAAUAGAGUUCAUUGUCAGCUGGACUUUAGACUCAGGUUUUUAAAUAGGUUUUGGAAUGUGGAUAUGAAGCAGUUAAAAGAACCCUACCUCCAGCCCUUAAAGGAAGAAACCUCUUAUUCACAUGCUGAAAAGUAUAUUAGGACCUCAGGUAAUGGGGUUGUCUGCAUAUUGUACACAAAAGUUUCUUGUAUAAGAAGGUCAAAAUAUACAGGAAACAAAAUACUAAUUUCUCAGGAAGCAAACAAACAAAAAACCCCUUUCUUAAAUAGAAAUACACAACUCCAAAGAACCCAGUUUAAAAAAAAAAGUUUCAAAAAAGGGAUGAUGAAAUUUAAAUGCUUAUUGAAAAAAACAUAGUAAGUUAUACAAUUUUUAAGAGUUGCGUAGGCCAGAGAUUUCUGUGCCUUCUACACGAUUUGUAGGAAAUGAAUAGAGGUGCUACAAAUGUUUGACAUUUUUUUACACUCCAGAUAGGUAUUUGGGGGAACAUGACCAUUUCUGAAGUGCUUACUUUAUGAAAAACAUUAACUCUUUUCAGUAAAAUAUCAUUGGCAUGAAUUUAUAAUGACACUACAGUUUGAUUGCAUAUUUUACUUCCGAUAUCCACUCACCAUGGCUGAAAAUGGUUUUACUUCUUCAAUUCUCAGGAUUAGUGGGUAUGUGAAUGUGACACAUGCCCUCUAAAAUAUGUCACAAGAAAACUUUGUGUGUUGCUUAAGAGCAAGCUAUCCUAGGAAAGCUGAUCCUUGAAAAGCUGAUACAACUGAUUCUAGUAACCAUCAGCACAUGUGUGAAAUAGUAAAAUGGAAAAAAAUACACACCCAAAGACAAAAAUAAUGACCAAAGGAAAACACAGGCUAAAUACCAUUUAUAGUCUACCUUCUAGAAACCAUGCAACUCCUGCAAUAUCCAUGCCUUUUGCUAGCAACUGCAUAAAAAGUUCCUGUAGUUAGAGAGGAGGCAGUAUUCCUACCCGUAGUCUUAUGUUAAAAAAUACUCUUAGGUCAACAAGCCGCCAGGGGAACCACAUCACUUUGUUCUAAAAUGUUUGCUGAAAAGCCAUAAGUGGCCUAAACAACAUAAACUUCAACAUCUUCAGCAGUGCUAUCUCCUGUCAGGGCUAACUGACAGAACACCCAGGCCAUGGCGUGACCCCGGCUUGCACAAACAGGCUAGACCUCGGAUAAGACGGUUGAAUUCGGAAAACACUGGCGGCCGGUGCUGCCUGGUUUCUAGGCUUCCCACAGAUAGAGCAUCUGGGCAGCGUUAACUGUGGCAUCCUGUAAACACCGGCUGGAUGAUAACGGAGUAUAGCGCAGGCAGCAAAGUGACUGUGUAAGACUGUUUUCUGUGGUAAUCAGAUGGCACAGCCAAAUGUUGUGCCUGUGGAAAUGAGCUCUGGAAGUAGUUAAAGAAGUGUUUACAGCACAGUCUGCAACAGAUAAGGGGACAAGAUGCUCUUCAAAAGUCAGGAAAAUCUAUCUGAGCAUAAGGUUUUUUUCUCCUGUUCAACACCAGGAGCCACAGACACCCCAAACGCAACUUCAGACGGGAAAUCGGACUGGCUUUUCGGCAGAUUGCCAGUGUUAGGGGCUAGCACCACUGGGCAAAGUCUUGGUCCACUAAUGUCACAUGGCAAAGCUCCCCACUGGUCAAAGAGGUGACAGAGGUUCUCAAAAAAUCUUACAUACAAGGCAAUAAACUUCUCAGGUCUUGUCUUGGUUAUUUACAUAGGCCAACCAGCCUAUAUGCGCAUACAUGUGUGCAAAUCAUCAAAUGAGAUGGGAAAAACAUGAAUAUAAUUGUUGUGCAAUUGACAGGAAGGAAGUAAGGUUGAUUUCUUUUUACUAAUGAGUUUUUUCUGUAUCUUGGUGGCAAAUGUAAAAGAUUGCCUCAGUUGUAUUUUCUAAAGAAAUACAAGUUCGUUCUACUCAUUCAAGGCUCCAUACUGAGAAACGAGCAGCAGCAAGGAUUCACAAUUGCUGAACUGAUCUUCCUCCCAUUUAUAAUCAUCUAACUUCCUCGUAAAAGCUACAGGAAUCUGCUGCUGCUGCAGAACAACAACUGCUUUAAAUCGGCUGUGGCUAGCCUUCGCUGCAGUUCGGCGGUUAAAUGGGGGAGGAUGACUCCUUCAUACCAGCCGUCUCCAGAAGCUCUACCUGGACUGUUGACGAGCACACACACAACGUGAGACCCCAGCCUGUGCAGCUCACUGACAUCUCAUGAGUUAUAAAAAAGAUGCAUCAAAGGAAAAUAAGUAACUCUUAUAAAUGCAACAAUAGUUUAUGCUUCUAAAACCCUAGAAAUCUGCUUAUUAAAGCAAGGACACUUGGCAUUUUAUGUUCAUCUCAGAUUCAAUUGCAAGAAAAGAGAUACAAAGGAUCUGAUCUUACUGAGAUUGUUUUCAUGACUUUGGGGUUUGGGCAGGGGUUUUUGUUUGGGUGCUGGGUAGGGUUUUUUUCGAAACUGAAAUAACCUACAUUCACAUAAAGCAUAUGGUUGUUCUCCAUGUAAAGACAGAUAAAUGCUUUCCAUCUUUUAAAGUCAGCUACAACUGAAAGGAGCUUAGAGACCAAAAAAGGAAAAACAGCAAUAGGUUUCUUUUUAAAGAAAAAUGAUAGAUUUACCUAGUAAAGGGAAGAUUUAAAUAUAAGGACUUUGAGCAGCAUUGCUGGAAAAAAAACAAAAAACAGUCCAUUCAUUCAUGCUAUCAUGCUGCAGACAGAAAAACAUGCAUGUAGCAAGUAUGUCCAGCUAUGUCAUUGAGGAAAACUAAUACUGUGUUAUGGAAUUAAAGAGAGAUGAAAAUUAGCUGCAAACUAAAGGUGGGGUGGAACAGAGUCCCAUUUUGGACCUAGGGCUCUGACAGCACGCUUUAAAUAUUCAGAAUACAGGUUCAGGAUCAUCAGGAUUGCUGUGAAGGGAAUCUAGGUUCAAUUAAAUGACACCGAACUUUAAGGAAAUCAAAUCAUACUGCAGAAAUGUAGAGGCCCAUCAGAUAGCAGAGGGGGUGUUACAGCAAAGAGAGUCCCCUGUUCUCAAUGCUCCUUGGUGCAGCUUCUACAAAAUAAACAUUUUUCUCCCACUUUCCCUUACUUUUCUUUUUAACAAAUUUGCAAACGCUUAUGAAAAGAAAACAGAGACGAGAUUGCAUCUGGUUUGUCUAUGGCGCCAUUUGUUGCUAUAGGGAGACUGCUUGGAAAAGGUGAUGAGUGGUAAGUUGGCGAAUGAUAUUAAUAGAGAAACAAUAGAAAAAUUGCUCUCAGCGCUGUGCUUAACCCUUUAGCAUUCUCAUUUUGGUUUCUCCCUCUUCUUCAGGAGGCCCAAGCAGAGGAUAAUGAUUGCAUCUCCCUGCACAAGCUGCUAGUUGUUUUCCCCUCCAAAACAUUAGCAUUUUUCUCCUUUUCACUUCCAUCAGCACUGUGUAUGUAAAAACAUUUUUGGAAGCAGGGGGGAAGCAGCCCUCUGAAAUGUUC